Long non-coding RNA from Pipistrellus kuhlii (Kuhl's pipistrelle), 331 nucleotides. RefSeq lists it as uncharacterized. The transcript has 2 exons. NCBI's taxonomy places the organism in Eukaryota, Metazoa, Chordata, Mammalia, Chiroptera, Vespertilionidae. The record is from RefSeq and is a predicted model, not a curated record.
AUCCGCCCCUCCCUCUGCCCGAGGGGCGACCCGCCCUCCCGAGGGCCUGGGCUGCGGGUCCUCCGCCGGCGGGGCCGUGGGGCGUCCCGCUUCGGGGCCUGGGACGAGCCGUCACCGCGGGCAGCGCCGGGCUUGGGCGGACAUCGCGGCGCGUGUGCACGGCCCGUGGGUGUGACCACACGUGGGUGUGACCACACGGGCUCGGCGGGACCGUUCCUUCUGCAUCGGGUGCUGAGUCUGAAGCCCCGGCAGAGCCUUCCACUCGCCCUCCUGCUCGGCCAGGCUGUUGAAAAGCUGCUUCACCCUGCGCUUCCUCUCGGCGUCCCUGAGA